UACAGAGGGUGCGAGCGUUAAUCGGAAUUACUGGGCGUAAAGCGCACGUAGGCGGCUUGGUAUGUCGGGUGUGAAAUCCCCGGGCUCAACCUGGGAACUGCAUCCGAAACUGCCUUGCUUGAGUAUGGGAGAGGGAAGUGGAAUUUCCGGUGUAGCGGUGAAAUGCGUAGAUAUCGGAAGGAACAUCAGUGGCGAAAGCGACUUCCUGGACCAAUACUGACACUCAAGUGCGAAAGCGUGGGGAGCAAACAGG
This 253-nucleotide ribosomal RNA is filed under the name uncultured bacterium. Its description in RNAcentral is "partial 16S ribosomal RNA". It matches the Rfam family "Bacterial small subunit ribosomal RNA", at positions 524 to 776 of the family's 1533-position model. The record is from RNAcentral.